Molecule: ribosomal RNA, 484 nt
Filed under: uncultured bacterium
Lineage: Bacteria
Description: partial 16S ribosomal RNA
Rfam family: Bacterial small subunit ribosomal RNA
Source: RNAcentral
AUUGAACGCUGGCGGCAUGCUUUACACAUGCAAGUCGAACGGCAGCGCGGGCUUCGGCCUGGCGGCGAGUGGCGAACGGGUGAGUAAUGCAUCGGAACGUGCCCAGUAGUGGGGGAUAGCCCGGCGAAAGCCGGAUUAAUACCGCAUACGACCUGAGGGUGAAAGCGGGGGACCGAAAGGCCUCGCGCGAUUUGAGCGGCCGAUGUCGGGUUAGCUAGUUGGUGGGGUAAAGGCUUACUAAGGCGACGAUCCGUAGCUGGUCUGAGAGGACGACCAGCCACCCUGGGACUGAGCCACGGCCAAGACUCCUACGGGAGGCAGCAGUGGGGAAUUGUGGACAAUGGGGGCAACCCUGAUCCAGCCAUGCCGCGUGCGGGAAGAAGGCCUUCGGGUUGUAAACCGCUUUUGUUCGGGAAGAAAUCCUCUGGGCUAAUACCCCGGGGGGAUGACGGUACCGGAAGAAUAAGCACCGGCUAACUACGUG